AUAGAAACAGAGAGAGCAUCCAAGGUCAACACUGCUGGGAACUCUGCUGCCUGGGAUUCUAGGGCAGCCGGGACAUCAGCCUUGACAGGGACUGCUCAGGACCCCACAGAUCUGCCUUCAGCAGGAACCCUGUGGGCUUAGUGGCCCUGGCACCUCCUCUUGGCGACCCUAUACACCAAUCCUACAGCUCUGGUGGGAAUUCUCACUGCAUGAGCUAUGACUAGAGUCCAGCUCAGUCUUGAUUCUCCCUACAAGACCCCAUCAUGGCUCGCCCACUGAAGGCCCUGAAUAGAGGCUACCCUACUGUACUUCAGCACAGGCCAUUAAAAAGGCUACUGAAAGACUUGAUGGAAGCUACGGGAAGGUUCUGAGACAAGAUGGAUAUUGUCUGGCUACACUGUUGCAACUAGUAUCCAAGACGUGAAAAGCCAACAGUGUGGCCAGGGAGAGACGAGAAACAGAAGACAGCAGUAUGGUUUGGAUCCAAAAUGUCCCACAGACUAUGGUUUGGAUCCUUUUCCUCCUGGGUUUUUGGAGGUCAUAGAAACUUUCAUAGGUAGGGGAGGGCCUUCAAAGGUGAUUGGUACCUGCCCUGUUUGGCAUGGCUCUGUACUUUGCUUUCUGGCCUGUCGUCUUGAGAAGCCAAACACUUCCGCACCCUGUCACGUCAAUACCCCCACCCCCACUCCAACUCCCAGCUACUACAGGCAGAGCCUCUCUGCCUUCCUGGCUCAACCCAAGACCAAUAUCAUAAAACAAGACAAAUCCUUUCUCAAAUUGUUUUCUAGUCAGACACAGUCAAAGUAAGGUCAAAGGUGGAGUUCGGGAUGAAACCAUCAGAUGGUAGGGUAUGCGCAGAGGGUGGAUCCUGGUUCCAUAUCAUUCCAGAGUCCACCUCGAUCCCAGGAAGCCAGCUCCCCUUUCCCGUGGGGGUGGAUUCUGCCCUCCAGAGCUUUCUCUGUCCUGAGUUUUAAGUUCCUCAGCUGACUCAAGUGCCCACAGGACUGGCCCUGCCUCUUUCCUGGGCUCUGUAUUCUGCUUCUCUGUCCUCGUAGGGAAAGAUCUACACCAUGGUCAGCUCUGAGUCAGUACUUCCAAGGACUCCUCUCUACCUGGCAUACUCCCAACCUGAUCGUCCUCAUCCAGUUAUUAAGGGGUUUUUCUUCCCCUUGCUAUCCACGGAACAACUCAAUUCUCCCCACCUCGAGGAGCAGCCCCUGGCUUCUACUCACCACCGAGGCACCCUGUUUCAUUUUCACAUAAACAUCUGUCUCCCUGUCUGUGAGGAGACUGCACCACCCCCCGAAAGAAAGAAGCAACAUAAACCAGGGAUGUCGCUGGCAGCUUCUCGGCUUCCCCGGCUUCUGGAACAUGGCCCAGGUACAGGAACCAGAAAUGUAAAUAUUUGUCGAAUAAAACGCACGGAGAAAGAGGCCACUUCUCCAGGGAAGUCCACGGGAGCAGAAAGGCCUCACGAAGUGUGUGUGUGUCUGCCAAUACGCCAUUUCCUUGACAGCCGAGACCAGGAAGCCGGUAGAGGAAGACUGCUGUGUUGGCUGUUUUCCUAAGAUUUAAACAGGUUCACGGCCCAAGAGCACGUUCGUCAUGUGAGGAUUCACCAGCACUGGCUAAAGCAUCCCUCUGCGGGACGGAACGGAGCUUCUCGGCCACAGCACAGCUGUCACUGACGGAUAAUACAGGAAAAAUCAAGGCCAGAUCCCUAAGCCACGUCUAAGAUGGGGGUGUCCAUGUACCACCAAUUCAUUUAACUCUACCUGCAUUGUUCUCCCUCGGGGCUUUCUGCAGCCCCUCCCCCACCCCAUCACUCCUUUCUCCUAGACUCUGACCUGUAGAGGCUUCUUCCUACAAAUGGUCUCUGGGAAAAGGUAACUAGCCAUCCCCUCCUUGUCUUGUAAAGCUGAGGUCACUGUUGCAAGGCUGACCUUAAAAGGCAGAGUUAUCCCAAGACACCCCUGUCCCCAAUUACUCUUCUUUACAUAUAUAGAAAGUGACACCUUCUCACAGCCCUGUGCUUGCCCGCACCUGGAUCUUUUAUACUGUCAAGCUUGGUGCCUCCCUCAUCCCCACAGGGCCACGGGAGAGCUAACCAGCUAUUUGUCUGAAAUCUUGACCAUGAACUCUGCAGCCGGCCCGCGGCUCAGUGCCCCCAGCAUGCAGUUCAGCAGAGCUGUCUGCAAGCUGCUCACCCUUCAUUCCUGCACAGAACCCUGUCAUGGCCGUGGAUGUGAGCCGUUCAAGAUCACAGGCUGGGUCCUGCUCUGACUGGCAGGCUGGACGUGAGCCACGGGCAAGUCAGCCUGUCUGGGUCACAGCCCACAUAGUCAAUCAUCCAGCCGCCAGGUGGUAGGCCGUGAUCCCACCACCUCUGUCUCUGAGUAGCAAGAUAUCAGACGAGGUUAGUUCCAGCCCAGUUAUUCAAGCUAGGCUCCAUGAGAAAGGUUCAUGGUUCAAGAGGGUCCUGCGGUUCUCCAUCCAAAAGUCCCAGCUUCCUGACAUCCAAGAUGCUGUGCACCAUCCCAGCAUGAGGCAUCCAGGAUGCUGAACACUGUACACAGUGUCUCAGGUAAGGGGAGGGCUGUGUGCAACCCCAGCAUCUCAUGUUAUUUUUAGUGUUGAGCAAAACUCCAGCACUCCAGGCGUCAGCAGUGAAGAGUGGUACCCCAGAAUCUCAGAUGUCUCUAAUGCUUAGUGCUGACCCAGCACCUGAGCAUCUAUGCAUUCAGUGAUGCUGAAGAAUCUCAGGUAUCUGUGAUGAUGUGUGGUGCCCUAGCAUCUCCAGCAUCUAUGGUGACACAUACCCUGUGGGACCCCCCCCCCUCAGUGUUUGCCCCCUGCUGAGCCUUGCUGAUGCAUGUGGAAGCUUUUGUUCUUAACAAAGGAACAUCUAGGACCUUUCUGUUUGGCACCUGGGCAGUGGCACCUGGGAGGUGGCACCUGGGAGCUAACACCUGGGUGGUAACACCAUUAAGUCAGUUCCUGUUUUUCCAUUCCUGUUUUUCUCCUGAGGGCAUGAACUUGUUUUUCCGCUGUGCUUCCUGGAAAUCUCCACCUGGUGAACUUGGGGUAUUU
RNAcentral lists this small RNA (3090 nucleotides) under Rattus norvegicus (Norway rat). RNAcentral's name for it is "uncharacterized LOC102549463". Lineage: Eukaryota; Metazoa; Chordata; Mammalia; Rodentia; Muridae. The record is from RNAcentral.